UAAUAUGAGAGUUUGAUCCUGGCUCAGGACGAACGCUGGCGGCAUGCCUAAUACAUGCAAGUCGAACGAACCAUCCUGAAGAUUGAAGCUUGCUUCAUGAUUCAGAUUUUGGUGAGUGGCGGACGGGUGAGUAACACGUGGGUAACCUGCCCAAAAGUGGGGGAUAACAUUUGGAAACAAGUGCUAAUACCGCAUAACAACUACUUUCACAUGAUCGUAGCUUGAAAGAUGGCUCUGCUAUCGCUUUUGGAUGGACCCGCGGCGUAUUAGCUAGUUGGUGAGGUAAUAGCUCACCAAGGCAAUGAUACGUAGCCGACCUGAGAGGGUAAUCGGCCACAUU
RNAcentral lists this ribosomal RNA (340 nucleotides) under Companilactobacillus farciminis. RNAcentral describes it as "bacterial SSU rRNA". It matches the Rfam family "Bacterial small subunit ribosomal RNA", at positions 1 to 314 of the family's 1533-position model. Lineage: Bacteria; Bacillati; Bacillota; Bacilli; Lactobacillales; Lactobacillaceae. The record is from RNAcentral.